UGUAAAAAUUAGCCAAAUCCUAGCAAUAGGAACGGAGGACCCGACUUUUUUUGGGGUGAAUCCUGCAUUUUGUGGGUAGGGUUUAUUCCUUUCGACCCGAACCCGUCAGCUAACUUCGUAGGCUAAAAGGAAAGGGAGG
RNAcentral lists this small RNA (139 nucleotides) under Desulforamulus ferrireducens. Its description in RNAcentral is "Desulfotomaculum ferrireducens c-di-AMP sequence". It matches the Rfam family "c-di-AMP riboswitch aptamer (ydaO/yuaA leader)". From Rfam's summary of the family: This family represents a conserved RNA structure found upstream of the ydaO and yuaA genes in Bacillus subtilis and related genes in other bacteria. The ydaO/yuaA element is thought to act as a genetic "off" switch for the ydaO and yuaA genes in its native state. The record is from Rfam by way of RNAcentral. Lineage: Bacteria; Bacillati; Bacillota; Clostridia; Eubacteriales; Peptococcaceae.